RNA transcript from Lucilia sericata (common green bottle fly), 2480 nucleotides. RefSeq lists it as uncharacterized. NCBI's taxonomy places the organism in Eukaryota, Metazoa, Arthropoda, Insecta, Diptera, Calliphoridae. The transcript is spliced from 3 exons. The record is from RefSeq and is a predicted model, not a curated record.
CAUAGAAAUAUUUCAAAUCAUUAAAGGGAUAUUUUAUAAUUAUUACAAAUUUUUUUCAUAACAUUUGAAGCAAAUUUAAAUAUUUCAAAUUAUUUAGGCAAAUAAAAAUUUACAACGUUUUUCAACAACAAUCAAUAAAUUCCUAACACCAUUUAUUUUUGUGCAAUUUUAUAAAAUUUUGAUCAAUUUUUGUGAAAAUUGGUUUGAAGGAAAAAAAAAAGAACUAAGAAAUAAAGAUGGAUUGUUCAAAUUGUAAAAUAAAUAAAAUUUCACCUGAAAUAAAUCCAUUUGGUGGCUACUUCUGCAGCAAUGAACAUAUGCAGUGCAAUGAAUGUAAUACCUCCUCGAAAGGGCAUUGUGGUCUUUGUAAUGCUAGUACAAAGUUUGUACAAAUGAAUUUUAAAUCCUCAGACGAACCACUACCCGCUACACCACAGUCAAGUAUAUUUUCGAAAGAUCAACCGAUACGUAGUGCUUUGUCAAAGCAAAUGCUCGAUGAAAUAGAAACACAGUCCAGAAUAUCGAAGGAACACUUAAUUUUAAAAGAUUCUCGAGAGUACAUGCAUCAGAAUGCAAAGGAAAACGACUCGAAAGAGACAAAUGGAAUGGAAACUUUAUUUGUAGGUACUCCAGCAGAAAAUUCAGCGUCUCUUAUAGGCAACUCAAAUCAUGAAGAUGUCGGAAAGAACUUCAAUGGUUUAAAAAUUAAAAAUAAAAAAUCCAUAAAUGAUUCCUCGAACAAAUUGGAGAUGACGCGGGAAAAUGUAUUUUGUUUUGAAGACGAUCCCAAUGAUACUUAUAUACCAACAUCUGAAAUUCGUUUUAUGGAUUCUACUGAAAGUUUUCAAAAUUUCUAUACCAAACAAAAAACCGACGAACUGGCUUGUGUAUUAAGGAACAAUGACCAACAACCGAAUUCCCUUUCUUUGAAAGUUCUAAGUAAUUUUGAAACUAAGGAUUCAGUUGAUAAAACAGAAAUUGUUAUGAAUUAUUUAGAAAGUUGUUGUACAACAUCAUAUCACCAGUCACCACUCUACAACUGUCAACAUUCUCAUUGUCAGUUUGGUUGGCAACCAAAUAAUCAAAAAAUGAAAGCAGCAAUGAAAACCGUUAGUGUAUCAACCGAUUCGGAUCCCAGCCUAAAAUCAACAUGUUUUGAUACAACAGAAGCUAGCUUGGUCGCAAAAUUUAAACCACGUGAUUUUUUUAUUAUGCAAGCAAUGGGAGUUCCUCCUCCUAUAAGGAGUACAGCUAAUUUGCCAUUAGAAAAGUAUGGUAAACCUUGUAUGGAUACAGUAAGAAUGCAAAAAAUUCUGGAAACUUUUAAAGAGGAUCUAAAUACAACAAAAUUUACCGAAAUGUCGAAUUUCAUUAAACUUUCAGGACAAAUUCCAAUGAAGCAACAACAAGAGAAGAAAGAUGCUGAAACACAAAGUUUAAAAAAGGAAGAUAAAAACUCUAUUUUAGUUGCAAAAUUAAUAAAUGCACAUAGAGCUGUUUAUAGUCCUCCAAAUCCCCCAACAGAUCCAGUUAAUAAUUUACACUUGCUAUCACAACCGCAAUCUCCUCAACAAGAACCCCCUUUGCCACAGUUUCAAACACUGCCCUGUUCUUCCGCUUUUGCUCAAGAACUUCUUCAAAAUCCAAAAAGGAGUUUAAGUCUUAAACCGGUUCCAGCUUGUGUGCUCAACAUACCACGCCAACCGAUACAAUGUCCAGAAUCAAAUUGUCUUAAAAUGAUAUUUGUAUCGGAUUUCAAUAAACAUUUGGUCGUCGAUCACAACCAUCUGCCCAUGGAGCGCAUAAUACCCUAUCAGUGCAAAAAUUUCUUUUUGGAUGCACGUUUGGCUCACUGUGGCACUAGUAAAUGCCAUUUAUUGUAUUUAAUGCAGAAUAAAAUUACCGAUUUGGGAAGCAGUGAAUAUAAGGACUUUCUUCCCAUUUUGGUCAUGACCACACGCAUUUCCCUUAAUGAAAUGUGUGGUUUAAAAGAUGGAGCAUCAACCAUGGAAUUUUUCCUCAUAUGGAUUACGGGAAUUGCACCUGAAGAGUUUCCCGUAUAUGUAUCGCUAACUAUUUGGUGUAGAUCUGGCAGGGUGCCUUUGUGCCAUACUGUAUAUUCAGGAAAAAUAUAUUCUAUUCGGGAAUCUCAACGGGCCUUUGAUGUUUGGCAAAGUGGCCGUAUGGUUUUAUUAUCCAGCCAAGAAAUAGAUGCGUUAACUAGUGGUGGCAAGGAGAUGUUAAAUUUACAACUGAGUGUUCACUGAUUUAAAGAGUAAAGGGUAUCUGCUGUAAUCUAAAAACUAUUUUAAAGUCUUGGAAUUUUGUAAUUUGUAAUGUUUAUAUUUUUAUAAUUUAUACAAAUAUAUUAGAAUUUUAAGGCAAAGGAACUAAAGUUUACUACUUUACGCUAAUUAGAACAUCUCCAUCACAUCCGAUAACUAACUACUAACCGCAAAUUAAAAAAAAGAAUUUGUUAA